GGUUUGUAGCUUAGUGGUAGAGUGCUUGCCUCACACGUGUGAGGCCCUGGGUUUGAUUCUCAGUACCA
This 68-nucleotide transfer RNA is filed under the name Marmota monax (woodchuck). Its description in RNAcentral is "tRNA.Val". It matches the Rfam family "tRNA". From Rfam's summary of the family: Transfer RNA (tRNA) molecules are approximately 80 nucleotides in length. Their secondary structure includes four short double-helical elements and three loops (D, anti-codon, and T loops). Lineage: Eukaryota; Metazoa; Chordata; Mammalia; Rodentia; Sciuridae. The record is from RNAcentral.